GACGAACCACACGAACGUUAUUCGGAAUUACUGGGCUUAAAGGGUGCGCAGGCGGCCUGACAAGUUGGGUGUGAAAUACCUCGGCUCAACCGAGGAAUGGCGCCCAAAACUGCCAGGCUAGAGGGAGAUAGAGGUGAGCGGAACUUAAGGUGGAGCGGUGAAAUGCGUUGAUAUCUUAAGGAACACCCGUGGCGAAAGCGGCUCACUGGAUCUCUUCUGACGCUCAGGCACGAAAGCUAGGGGAGCGAACGGG
RNAcentral lists this ribosomal RNA (253 nucleotides) under uncultured bacterium. Its description in RNAcentral is "partial 16S ribosomal RNA". It matches the Rfam family "Bacterial small subunit ribosomal RNA", at positions 524 to 776 of the family's 1533-position model. The record is from RNAcentral.